Molecule: RNA transcript, 1594 nt
Organism: Caenorhabditis elegans
Lineage: Eukaryota; Metazoa; Nematoda; Chromadorea; Rhabditida; Rhabditidae
Gene: hel-1
Gene name: Non-coding transcript of protein-coding gene hel-1
Exons: 5
Source: RefSeq, marked reviewed
AUGGAAGAGGAACAACUUCUUGACUACGAAGAGGAGCAGGAGGAGAUCCAAGACAAGCAGCCAGAAGUUGGCGGAGGCGAUGCCAGAAAAACUAAAGGAACGUAUGCUUCUAUUCAUUCUUCCGGAUUUCGUGACUUCCUCUUGAAGCCAGAAAUUCUUCGUGCCAUCGGAGACUGCGGUUUCGAACAUCCAUCGGAAGUACAACAUGAGUGCAUUCCUCAAGCCAUUCUUGGAAUGGACGUUGUCUGCCAAGCGAAGUCCGGUAUGGGUAAAACCGCUGUUUUUGUAAUCACCACUCUUCAACAACUGGAGCCAGUGGAUGGCGAGGUAUCUGUUGUUUGCAUGUGCCACACUCGCGAGUUGGCAUUCCAAAUUUCCAAGGAGUAUGAGAGAUUUAGCAAAUAUCUCCCAGGAGUCAAGGUAGCUGUCUUUUUCGGUGGAAUGGCCAUCAAGAAAGAUGAGGAACGCCUUGCCAAUGACUGUCCACACAUUGUUGUUGGAACUCCAGGAAGAAUGUUGGCUCUGGCUCGUUCUGGCAAGCUGAAGCUUGACAAAGUCAAGUACUUCGUCCUGGACGAGUGCGACAAGAUGAUCGGAGAUGCUGAUAUGCGUCGGGAUGUUCAAGAAAUCGUCAAGAUGACUCCACAACAGAAGCAAGUGAUGAUGUUCUCCGCCACAUUGCCAAAGGAGCUUCGCACUGUUUGCAAGCGAUUCAUGCAAGACGUACGCUUUAUCUCUGAUCCGGAACCUACGGAACCGCUGUUCACUUUUUUGAAACAAAAAACAUGUAUCAAACCAAAAUGCUAGUCAUGUGUGUUCCGUGAUGCGAAAGAGAUGGCCAGAACUUGAUCUCAUCUUGUUAAGCCUCUCGCCACGCAGAAGCCAUCGUCCUCGGGGGAGGUAGCUGGCUCGCCUCAGCGAAGCUGAUUGCUAAUAGGUCGAAAGACUUGUCGGGAACACGUGACAUGUACUGCAAAACACGUUCCAGCCCCCGAUUCAUCACCGUGCUGCCGUUCUAGACCUUAAAACAUUUUUUCAGCCAAUGGAAGUCUACGUCGACGACGAAGCCAAGCUCACUCUGCACGGACUUCAGCAACAUUACGUCAAACUGAAGGAAGCCGAGAAGAACCGUCGUUUGCUGAAUCUUCUCGAUGCACUCGAGUUCAACCAAGUCGUCAUUUUCGUCAAGGCCGUAAAACGUUGCGAAGCUCUCCACCAGCUCCUCACAGAACAAAAUUUCCCAUCAAUUGCCAUUCAUCGUCAAAUGGCUCAAGAAGAGCGACUUUCAAGAUACCAAGCAUUCAAAGACUUCCAAAAGAGAAUCUUGGUGGCCACCGAUUUGUUUGGACGUGGAAUGGAUAUCGAAAGAGUCAACAUCGUGUUCAACUACGACAUGCCAGAAGAUUCCGACUCGUAUCUUCACAGAGUUGCACGUGCUGGUCGUUUUGGAACCAAGGGUUUGGCCAUCACUUUCGUUUCUGAUGAGAAUGACGCCAAGACCUUGAACAGCGUUCAAGACCGCUUCGAUAUCAGCAUCACUGAGCUCCCAGAAAAGAUCGAUGUCUCUACCUACAUCGAAGGCCGAACCAAUUGA